RNAcentral lists this long non-coding RNA (210 nucleotides) under Elaeis guineensis (African oil palm). Its description in RNAcentral is "long non-coding RNA (EGUI_LNC037705)". The record is from RNAcentral. Lineage: Eukaryota; Viridiplantae; Streptophyta; Magnoliopsida; Arecales; Arecaceae.
GAGAGGGGUAUCUUACUAGGGCUGAUUGGUGACUGGGUUGAAGCUGAACUAGGAGUAGGGUUUGAAGCAGAAGUGGUCUCGAUUGCCAGUCUCUUUCGGCACACAUUUUUCUCCAACCCGCGAACUGAUUUCCUCCUCUGCGGAAGCUUCAUCUUGGGAGCCAUUUGCACAGGCAGGACUAGCACGAAACUUAGGAGAGCAAAUGUGAGG